Molecule: long non-coding RNA, 418 nt
Organism: Hypanus sabinus (Atlantic stingray)
Lineage: Eukaryota; Metazoa; Chordata; Chondrichthyes; Myliobatiformes; Dasyatidae
Exons: 3
Source: RefSeq, a predicted model, not a curated record
GUUGCCCAGACGAAUCACUUCUCCCGAAGCAGUUAUUCUAAUCGCCACGAAGAACUGCAGAACAAACGUGGUAAUUUCUCUAUAAAAAUUAAUAAAGAUGGUGUGUGAACUGUGCCUAACCACGUAGUCAUGAGAGGUUAGAGCAAGGAAUUAAGCACACAUCCUUCAGAUGCACCUAUGUUGAUUGUCAGGGAGGAGGAGAUGUUAUCACAAUCCGAUCUCGGAUUCAUUGAUGAAGAGCUCUAGCAGAGCAACAGACACUUUGAGUCCCAUGAGUUUAUUGCCACCUGACUGCACCCAUGUGACCACAGAAUCUACUUAUCUUUGGAAUGUGGGAGGAAACCUACGCGGUCACAAGGAGAAUGUACAAACUGAAGACAGACGUUGAAGGAAUUGAACCCGUGUCACCGGUGCCGUA